This 408-nucleotide ribosomal RNA is filed under the name Triticum aestivum (bread wheat). RNAcentral describes it as "partial small subunit ribosomal RNA". The record is from RNAcentral. Lineage: Eukaryota; Viridiplantae; Streptophyta; Magnoliopsida; Poales; Poaceae.
AUGAGAGCGUCCGGUGGCGGCGGCGGCGAGAAGCUGAGCGGUGGCUUACGAUCCCAUGGAGUAGGCGUCGACGCCGACGGGUUCGUGGGCGGCGGUGGGCCUGGAGAACCUAGCGCCAGGGUCACUGCAGUUCUUGACUUCGGUGGCAAGAAGGAGUGGGCUGGGGAAAGGGAUGGCAGAGCAAUGAAGUUGGAGGCCAGGAUUAAGGAUCUAGCCAUGAAGAACAUGGAGUUGGAGGCCAGGAUUAAAGUACUUGAAGCAGAAACUAAAAGAAAUGAGAAAGAAAAGAGAGCAAUUGUCAAGAUGCAGAAGCAAAGAGAGCAAUUUAGGGAUAAGAUUUUUUGUUUUGGAGCUCUUCUGUAUGUUGGUCUGUUUGCCAUUCUGCUAGCUGUCAUUGUUAGCAAGUAG